Long non-coding RNA from Balaenoptera ricei (Rice's whale), 1526 nucleotides. RefSeq lists it as uncharacterized. Lineage: Eukaryota; Metazoa; Chordata; Mammalia; Artiodactyla; Balaenopteridae. The record is from RefSeq and is a predicted model, not a curated record. The transcript is spliced from 3 exons.
AGGGUCAGGUGGCCCUGGCGCCACUGGCUGCUGUAGGCAUGGAGAAGGCCCCGGGCCCCAGAAUGUUCGAGCUGGAUGGGGCCUUGGGCAUUAUCCUCCCCAGAGUGGACCAGGGAGGGCAGGGACUUGCCUAGGGCACAUAGCAGGAGGGCCUGACCCUCUGGCAGUGCUGUCCCCUGCACUCAGUGGGAGGGCUGGCCAGACUCCCUUUGUCUGUAGCAGGCUGUGCUGCUUGACCCACGCUUGGAUCCUGUGUCUGGCCGAUGGUGGCCCUGGAAGGUCCUCUCCAGAAGCACCUGGGUCUGCCUCCAAGACCCAAGCUCGUUCCACUAUCCAACCAACCCUGAUAGCGAUCCAAGAUGGAACCAGCUUCCUUAGGAGGUAAAGAGCCACCCGUCUCUGGAGUCAUUCAAGCAAAAGUUGAACAACUCCUUUCUGCGGUGCUUCACAGGAUCCCAGCAUCCCUCACGGAGGGGGCAGACCUGAUGCUCUGAGCUGACACAGGAUGGCAGGCAGGCAGAUGCUGACUGCUGAGUCAUGGAUGGGAUGGGAGAGAAGCUGUGCGCCAGCCAGAGCAGCCGGGCUCAGAGCUUCCGGUGGACUCAGACAGGGAAGCAAGGGUGUCAUCAAGAAGGUCUGCUCCUCUCGGUUGCCCUCGCAGCCCUCUGCCUCCAGAAGGAAGUUCCUCUUACCAGGUCCUGCUGAGAUGCUAAGAAUUGCUGGUGACAAUAUUUCAGCACAGCGGCGGGGCCUAGUGCUCCAGAUUCAGACGGAUCUGGGUCCCAGUCCCCGCGCUGCCACGCACCAGUUUGAGACCUUGAGCAAAAUACUUCGCCUGUCCAAGCCUAGUUCUUUCGCCAAUAAAAUGGGCUGAUAAUUCCUACCUUGGGAUUAUUGAUAGGGGAAGAUGUCCACAGCACAUUAAGUUAAAAAGGCAAAUAUGGGGCCUCCCUGGUGGCACAGUGGUUAAGAAUCCGCCUGCCAAUGCAGGGGACACGGGUUCGAGCCCUGGUCCGGGAAGAUCCCAUAUGCCGCGGAGCAACUAAGCCCGUGCGCCACAACUACUGAGACUGCGCUCUAGAGCCCGCGAGCCACAACAACUGAGCCCGCGUGCCACAACCACUGAAGCCCAUGCACCUAGAGCCUGUGCUCCGCAACAAGAGAAGCCACCACAAUGAGAAGCCCGUGCACUGCAAUGAAGAGUAGACCCCGCUCGCCGCAACUAGAGAAAGCCCACGUGCAGCAACGAAGACCCAACACAGCCAAAAAUAAAUAAGUUAAUUAAAAAGAAAAAAAAAAGGCAAAUAUGUUCCCAUGUUUGUUAAAAACAAAAAACCUACAUUUAUAUGUUUGCAUGCACAGAAAAGUUUGGAAGGAAACACCCAAACAGGUAGCAGAGAGACAUUUGAAGGGGGAGAGGUGGACGAUUUUUAUCUCAAACUCUAUACACUCCUAAAUUUUUGAAAAAGUUUAAACCAAUAAGCAUGUAUUAACUGUGUAACAAAUAAAGUGAAAUUUUAAAAGUC